UAGGGAAUCUUCGGCAAUGGACGAAAGUCUGACCGAGCAACGCCGCGUGAGUGAAGAAGGUUUUCGGAUCGUAACUCUGUUGUUAGAGAAGAACAAGGACGUUAGUAACUGAACGUCCCCUGACGGUAUCUAACCAGAAAGCCACGGCUAACUACGUGCCAGCAGCCGCGGUAAUACGUAGGUGGCAAGCGUUGUCCGGAUUUAUUGGGCGUAAAGCGAGCGCAGGCGGUUUCUUAAGUCUGAUGUGAAAGCCCCCGGCUCAACCGGGGAGGGUCAUUGGAAACUGGGAGACUUGAGUGCAGAAGAGGAGAGUGGAAUUCCAUGUGUAGCGGUGAAAUGCGUAGAUAUAUGGAGGAACACCAGUGGCGAAGGCGGCUCUCUGGUCUGUAACUGACGCUGAGGCUCGAAAGCGUGGGGAGCAAACAGG
This 427-nucleotide ribosomal RNA is filed under the name Gemmatimonadota bacterium. RNAcentral describes it as "Gemmatimonadetes bacterium partial 16S ribosomal RNA". It matches the Rfam family "Bacterial small subunit ribosomal RNA", at positions 355 to 776 of the family's 1533-position model. The record is from RNAcentral. Lineage: Bacteria; Pseudomonadati; Gemmatimonadota.